AUCAUCCUAAUUCCUCAUUCAUCGGUUACGAUAUGUUUUGAGUUUGUUUAAGUAUAUGGUAUAAAAAUCUAUACACUCUUGACCCAAGUAACCUUCUGCUAUAGAUCCCUCCAGGCAAUUCAUUUUUCUUACAUAAGAUUUCAAUAUUUGAAUAUUCUUUUUGGUGGGGUACAUCCAUCGGCAAAACACUGGACCUCCAAGUGCAACUUUUCCCGCAAGGUGCAUGGUAAGAUGCAUCAUAAUUAUGAAAAAUAAUGAUAGAAAUAUCUUCUCU
Molecule: long non-coding RNA, 274 nt
Filed under: Elaeis guineensis (African oil palm)
Lineage: Eukaryota; Viridiplantae; Streptophyta; Magnoliopsida; Arecales; Arecaceae
Description: long non-coding RNA (EGUI_LNC053818)
Source: RNAcentral